Molecule: ribosomal RNA, 410 nt
Filed under: bacterium enrichment culture clone ALO1_GLFRUDD03F8A0A
Lineage: Bacteria
Description: bacterial SSU rRNA
Rfam family: Bacterial small subunit ribosomal RNA
Source: RNAcentral
GAGUUUGAUCGUGGCUCCAGAUUGAACGCUGGCGGCAUGCCUUACACAUGCAAGUCGAACGGCAGCACGGGAGCUUGCUCCUGGUGGCGAGUGGCGAACGGGUGAGUAAUGCAUCGGAACGUAUCCUGGAGUGGGGGAUAACGUAGCGAAAGUUACGCUAAUACCGCAUAUUCUGUGAGCAGGAAAGCGGGGGGACCUUCGGGCCUCGCGCUCUUGGAGCGGCCGAUGUCGGAUUAGCUAGUUGGUGAGGUAAAGGCUCACCAAGGCGACGAUCCGUAGCAGGUCUGAGAGGAUGAUCUGCCACACUGGAACUGAGACACGGUCCAGACUCCUACGGGAGGCAGCAGUGGGGAAUUUUGGACAAUGGGGGCAACCCUGAUCCAGCCAUGCCGCGUGAGUGAAGAAGGCCU